RNAcentral lists this long non-coding RNA (858 nucleotides) under Nicotiana benthamiana. Its description in RNAcentral is "long non-coding RNA (NBEN_LNC019995)". The stretch from base 233 to 303 matches the Rfam family "MIR6151 microRNA precursor family". The record is from RNAcentral. Lineage: Eukaryota; Viridiplantae; Streptophyta; Magnoliopsida; Solanales; Solanaceae.
UACACAAAUUCAAAGCCCUAAUCCCAAACAAACAACUACGCGCCUGUGCUUCUUCUUCUCCAAAAGCACCCGAAUCCAACCCUAAUAAUGUCAAAAAUUGUGCGAUUACUCUCUUCAUCCAUUUGCCUUUCUCUCCUCUUACCAAAGAUAACCGUUUCUGACGCGAAAAUUUGCAUUCCCGUCACUCGCUCGAUUUGGAGAUAAGGCACGCGAUUGGAAGCUUCUAGGAACGAUUUGCUGGAUGAGUGUGAGGCGUUGGAUUGAUUCCCCUCAAUCCAAGCCCCACAUUCAUUAGGAAUUUGUUCUAAUUAGGGAAUUUUAGAUGGAUUUAGAGGGGGGAAGGACUCGGCUAACAAAAUUUAGAGAAAAAGUUAAAAGGGUUUGGGGAACUGAUGGUUUCAGGGUUUAUUUUUAUUCUUGAUGUGUUCUUUCAAAGUGUACGAGAAACAUACAUACAAUUUUUAUUUAUUGAAUUCUGAUUUGAGUUCUAGUGAGAUACAAAUUGAAGUUCGAGGUUGGUUUUUUUACUGUCGUCAUGUUGAUUUGUUGCUGAACCUCGCUAGGAUUUGGAGUCGAGAGUUGUAUUCUUCAGUUGAUAAUUGUAUAAAUGAGAUUUGCAACUUCAGGUUCAAUUUUCCUCUCUUUUAUUCUAUGCGACUCAGUUUUGUUUCAGUGUUUUUGAUCUAUGAGAUUCACUCUAGAGUGGUCUGUUUUGUGUUGUGAUUGAAUUUCUUGUUGAAUGAAUCAAUUCUCAGUGGCAUGAUGUAUUUAAGUAUGUUUAGUUAGUAAAAGUUAAGUUUGAAGGGUCGUUCUCUGUGUUCAUAUGCUUUAACAAUUAUUAUUGUGUCGAGUUUUUCA